Molecule: long non-coding RNA, 1111 nt
Filed under: Salmo salar (Atlantic salmon)
Lineage: Eukaryota; Metazoa; Chordata; Actinopteri; Salmoniformes; Salmonidae
Description: lncRNA (ENSSSAG00000087249.1)
Source: RNAcentral
CCUGACUAGAACCAAAAAAUUUGAUCAUAUUACUCCAGUGUUAGCCUCCCUACACUGGCUUCCUGUUAAGGCAAGGGCUGAUUUCAAGGUUUUACUGCUAACCUACAAAGCAUUACAUGGGCUUGCUCCUACCUAUCUUUCCGAUUUGGUCCUGCCGUACAUACCUACACGUACGCUACGGUCACAAGACGCAGGCCUCCUAAUUGUCCCUAGAAUUUCUAAGCAAACGGCUGGAGGUAGGGCUUUCUCCUAUAGAGCUCCAUUUUUAUGGGAUGGUCUGCCUACCAAUGUGAGAGACGCAGACUCAGUCUCAACCUUUAAGUCUUUACUGAAGACUUAUCUCUUCAGUAGGUCCUAUGAUUAAGUAUAGUCUGGCCCAGGAGUGUGAAGGUGAACGGAAAGGCUGGAGCAACGAACCGCCCUUGCUGUCUCUGCCUUGCCGGUUCCCCUCUUUCCACUGGGAUUCUCUGCCUCUAACCCUUUUACAGAGGCUGAGUCACUGGCCUACUGGUGUUCUUCCAUGCCGUCCAUGGGAGGGGUGCGUCACUUGAGUGGGUUGAGUCACUGACGUGGUCUUCCUGUCUGGGUUGGCGCCCCCCUUGGGUUGUGCCAUGGCGGAGAUCGUUGUGGGCUAUACUCGGCCUUGUCUUAGGACGGACCUGAGCCCUAGGACCAUGCCUCAGGACUACCUGGUAUGAUGACUCCUUGCUGUCCCCAGUCCACCUGGCCGUGCUGCUGCUCCAGUUUCAACUGUUCUGCCUGCGGCUAUGGAACCCUGACCUGUUCACCGGACGUGCUUGUUGCACCCUCGACAACUACUAUGAUUAUUAUUAUUUGACCAUGCUGGUCAUUUAUGAACAUUUUAACAUUUUAACAUUUUGACCAUGUUCUGUUUUAAUAUCCACCCUGCACAGCCAGAAGAGGACUGGCCACCCCUCAUAGCCUGGUUCCUCUCUAGGUUUCUUCCUAGGUUUUUGGCCUUUCUAGGGAGUUUUUCCUAGGGAGUUUUUCCUAGCCACCGUGCUUCUUUCACAUGCUUUGCUUGCUGUUUGGGGUUUUAGGCUGGGUUUCUGUACAGCACUUUGAGAAUAUCAGCUGAUGUACGAAGGGC